Molecule: ribosomal RNA, 245 nt
Filed under: uncultured bacterium
Lineage: Bacteria
Description: partial 16S ribosomal RNA
Rfam family: Bacterial small subunit ribosomal RNA
Source: RNAcentral
UACGAAGGGGGCUAGCGUUGCUCGGAAUUACUGGGCGUAAAGGGCGCGUAGGCGGAUGUUUAAGUCGGGGGUGAAAGCCCAGGGCUCAACCCUGGAAUUGCCUUCGAUACUGGACAUCUUGAGUGCGGGAGAGGUGAGUGGAACUCCGAGUGUAGAGGUGAAAUUCGUAGAUAUUCGGAAGAACACCAGUGGCGAAGGCGACUCACUGGCCCGUUACUGACGCUGAUGCGCGAAAGCGUGGGGAG